This 1207-nucleotide long non-coding RNA is filed under the name Sarcophilus harrisii (Tasmanian devil). RNAcentral's name for it is "lncRNA (ENSSHAG00000030807.1)". The record is from RNAcentral. Lineage: Eukaryota; Metazoa; Chordata; Mammalia; Dasyuromorphia; Dasyuridae.
CUCACUUCUGUUCCAAUUUUUCCCUUUCCUCCUUCCACCUCCUCCCCUAGAUGGCAAGCAGUCUUAUACAUGUUAAAUAUGUCGCAGUAUAUCCUAGAUACAAUAUAUGUGUGCAGAACCAUACAGUUCUCUUGUUACACAGGGAGAAUUGGAUCAGAAGGUAAAAAUAACCUGGGAAGAAAAACAAAAAUGCAGUUUACACUCAUUUCCCAAUGUUCCUUCUCUGGGUGUAGCUGCUUCUGUCCAUCAUUGAUCAGUUGCAACUGAGUCUCUUUGUCGAAGAAAUCCACUUCCAUCAGAUUACAUUUUCAUAGAGUAUCGUUGUAUAAUAAUCUCCUGGUUCUGCUCAUUUCACUUAGCAUCAGUUCAUGUCUCUCCAAGCUUCUCUGUAUUAAUCCUGCUGGUCAUUUCUUACAGAAAAAUAAUAUUCCAUAACAUUCAUAUGCCACAAUUUACCCACCCAUUCUCCAAUUGAUGGGCAUCCAUUCAUUUUCCAGUUUCUAGCCACUACAAACAGGGCUUCCACAAACAUUUUGGCACAUACAGGUCCCUUUCCCUUCUUUAGUAUUUCUUUGGGAUAUAUAGUUUUACAGAUUUAACAGAUUUGAACUUAACAGACAGACAGACAGACACACACACAUUCCCCCUAAUCUUCAAUUCAUAGUUUUAAAAUUGUAUUAUUAUUUAAUUGACACUUAUUAAACCCUACUUGGCUGAAAUGGGACUCAGUUCCUGCCUUCAAAACACUUAUAGUAUGUGAAGAUAAGGCACUUAUAGAACAAAAAUUAUGUACAAGCACAUUCAUUGAAAAAAUUUAAUUAAAUGUUAGAAAUCCAAGACUGGCAUCAGAGAACCUGAGUUUGAAUCUUUCCUUUGUUAGUCAUUCCCUAUGUGAUCUUGGACAAGUUUGGGCUUCAGUUCCAUCUUCUAAAUGGGUGAAUUAGAGGAGAUGACCUCAGAGAUUCCUUCUAGAAAAGUCUAAAUCCUCAAAAAAGAGCAACUAGCACAGAAUUAUUAGUAGAUAAUAAUAAACUAACAUUUACAAAGCUCUUUAAAAUCUACUAAACACUUUACAUAUUAUCUUACUUUAUCCUUGCUAUAAUCUAGGAACUAGGGGCAUAGUUAUCUCCAUUUUUGAGUUGAGAAAUUCAGAUGAGAUUGUGAUUUUAGUUCUGAGACAAAUCAGAUUGAUUUCCUUGACUUCAAG